RNAcentral lists this transfer RNA (89 nucleotides) under Trametes sanguinea. RNAcentral's name for it is "tRNA-Ser". It matches the Rfam family "tRNA". From Rfam's summary of the family: Transfer RNA (tRNA) molecules are approximately 80 nucleotides in length. Their secondary structure includes four short double-helical elements and three loops (D, anti-codon, and T loops). Lineage: Eukaryota; Fungi; Basidiomycota; Agaricomycetes; Polyporales; Polyporaceae. RNAcentral also lists the same sequence under 1 other name. The record is from RNAcentral.
GGGCAUUUGGUCGAGUCUGGUUUAUGGCGCUUAUCUUGAAAAUAAGUACUUCUAAAAAAAAGUCGUGAGUUCAAAUCUCACAGUGCCCG